UGGGGAAUUUUGGACAAUGGGCGAAAGCCUGAUCCAGCAAUGCCGCGUGUGUGAAGAAGGCCUUCGGGUUGUAAAGCACUUUUGUCCGGAAAGAAAUCCUUGGCUCUAAUACAGUCGGGGGAUGACGGUACCGGAAGAAUAAGCACCGGCUAACUACGUGCCAGCAGCCGCGGUAAUACGUAGGGUGCAAGCGUUAAUCGGAAUUACUGGGCGUAAAGCGUGCGCAGGCGGUUUGCUAAGACCGAUGUGAAAUCCCCGGGCUCAACCUGGGAACUGCAUUGGUGACUGGCAGGCUAGAGUAUGGCAGAGGGGGGUAGAAUUCCACGUGUAGCAGUGAAAUGCGUAGAGAUGUGGAGGAAUACCGAUGGCGAAGGCAGCCCCCCUGGGCCAAUACUGACGCUCAUGCACGAAAGCGUGGGGAGCAAACAGGAUUAGAUACCCUGGUAGUCCACGCCCUAAACGAUGUCAACUAGUUGUUGGGGAUUCAUUUCCUUAGUAACGUAGCUAACGCGUGAAGUUGACCGCCUGGGGAGUACGGUCGCAAGAUUAAAACUCAAAGGAAUUGACGGGGUCAUAGCUG
This 580-nucleotide ribosomal RNA is filed under the name uncultured bacterium. RNAcentral's name for it is "partial 16S ribosomal RNA". It matches the Rfam family "Bacterial small subunit ribosomal RNA", at positions 355 to 932 of the family's 1533-position model. The record is from RNAcentral.